CCACAACUGAUUUCCAUCACAAUCAUCACCUUCACAUCUCCAUCUUCUUCCACUAAAAGCUCUCUUGCAAGUUGUGAAGAUCCUCCAUAGAAGUGUGAAGUUGAAGUGCUCCCAAGAAGCCUUGUUCAAACUUUUCUCACCAUCAUUCUUUAUCAUCUCAUCCUAAGAUUACAACCCUAGCCUUGUGCUAGUAGUAGUCGUGUUUGCUGAGGAGAUUUGGGGUACGAGUACCGAAGACGCAAUACUGUGAGUUCAUGUCCCCCUUUUCUCUUAACUAUUUUCAGUUUUACACCUCGGGGGUGAAAUACAUGUUACAGACAUUUACAGACAUUUACAGACAUUUAUUUACAUGGUAUGGUUAGCUUAAGGAGGGUUUUUAUUACGCGAACAUGGGAGUGGUGGGCAUGACACUUAAGGCCAUUAAUCCUCGUUGUAGGACCGAGGGACAUUAGUGAUAGAUCUAUUUGGGUGUAGCGAGCCCCACUCCUGAGUCCGCUGAGUGGACCAUGAUGAUAGAUCUAUUUGGGUGUAGCGAGCCCCACUCCUGAGUCCGCUGAGUGGACCAUGAGUUGACUAAGUGCCUGACGCACAAAUCCGCUAGGGUUGAGUCUUC
Molecule: long non-coding RNA, 613 nt
Filed under: Helianthus annuus (common sunflower)
Lineage: Eukaryota; Viridiplantae; Streptophyta; Magnoliopsida; Asterales; Asteraceae
Source: RNAcentral